RNAcentral lists this ribosomal RNA (404 nucleotides) under Verrucomicrobiota bacterium. RNAcentral's name for it is "Verrucomicrobia bacterium partial 16S ribosomal RNA". It matches the Rfam family "Bacterial small subunit ribosomal RNA", at positions 355 to 776 of the family's 1533-position model. Lineage: Bacteria; Pseudomonadati; Verrucomicrobiota. The record is from RNAcentral.
UGGGUAAUAUUGCACAAUGGGGGAAACCCUGAUGCAGCGACGCCGCGUGAGCGAUGAAGGCUUUCUAGUCGUAAAGCUCUGCCCUAGGGGAAGAUAAUGACGGUACCAGAGAAGAAAGCCCCGGCUAAUUACGUGCCAGCAGCCGCGGUAAUACGUAAGGGGCGAGAGUUGUCCGGAAUUAUUGGGCGUAAAGAGUGCGUAGGCGGCAAAUUAAGUCAGAUGUGAAAACUAAGGGCUCAACCCAUAGAUUGCAUCUGAAAAUGAUAUGCUUGAGUCAAGGAGAGGAAAGUGGAAUUCCUAGUGUAGCGGUGGAAUGCGUAGAUAUUAGGAGGAAUACCGGUGGCGAAGGCGACUUUCUGGACUUGAACUGACGCUGAGGCACGAAAGCGUGGGGAGCAAACAGG